CUUCCAGCCCGGAGAACUCCUGCAUCCUGCUGGUAACCUCGUGGGUAGCCGGGGCCCACCCCAAGAGAAAACAGAGUACAGGGCCUGGGCCUUGGGGUCCCCCAGGACCAGGAUCUACAUGGGGCUCUGUUCUUCCCUCGCUUCUCUUCAGCUCUCAGCAUCUCCCUUUCCUCAUUUGCAAAACAGCAUCCGAAAACCUUCCUCGCCAGGUAGUCCUAAAAGCAGAAUGAAGGAGUUUAUGCAAGUAAUCAUUGCUCAGGAACUGUGGGCUCCUCCCCUCCCCUCAGAAAAUGUUUGUUGAAUGAAUGAAUGAGUGAACCAAACAGCUGUGCACCAAACCAGCCACAGCCAGAGGGAGCUGAAGAGAAACCACGGACCUGGGAUGGGAGGAUCUGUUCUCUGGUGUCCGCCAUGGCCCCCAUCACCUUGAGCAAGAACACGUGGCACCGCAUGAGCUCCUCAGGACCCCGCCCUGUAGCAGACCCUGAACUUCUUAUCCCCAUCGAUACUGUGGCAGACUGAGCCGCAGAAGGAGCAUGACGGGGCCGAGAGACCACAUGUAGCUCGUCAAGCAGAUGGCAUUCAGCUCCUGAGUCCUAGAUAGCGCCCCCCAUCACCAUUGUCAGCACCCCGUGAGGUCUCUGGGGUCGCUUUCAGCACAGCCCUGGCCUCAGACAACCAAAGUGGGGAGCUGCGUCUCCUGGCAAGUUUGGUCACGAGGAAUCCUUUCUAAACACGAGAGCCAGGACCCGAAGAAAAUGCCAAACAAUCCCUUCAGAACAGAGCCAUCCCUUUGCUCAGGCACAGGUGAGGGGUGCAACCUUGGUCUCCUGAGGACAUUGUCACACGUCUUCUCCUCGCCUAGCCAGCGCUGGGAUCCCCGCUUACCUGAAUCAGGGAAGGCUGAGCGUCCGCAGCAGCAGGAUCUCGGUGUCCGUCUGUCCGCAGACCCAGCCUCGGCGCUAUCUGGAAAUUGCAGAAAUGAGGAAACAGAGCAUACCACUGCCAAGUCACCCACAGGGAGGAAAUGCUGUGACCCUGGGGCUCCUCCAACGGGUGGCACCAAGAACCUCCAAGCUGGCUGACCGGGCCCUGACCACUGGUCAGAGGGUUUCCCCAGAGCCAGGGGCCAGCUGGGCAGUGGGCGGGCCAGGCAGCUGGGAUGCAAGAGAGCAAGCAGAAAAUCAGAGCAGACAGUCUCAAGAGAGACAGAGAGAGAGAGAGAGGGAUUGAGCACGAAAGCAAGGAAAAGAGAAAAGAGAUGAGAAACCAAGAGAGGGAGAGAGGGGGACAGCCAGGAAGGCAGUGAGAGAUGGGGGAGAAAGGCACAUGGAGAAAGACAGAUGUAAACACAGAGAGAGAGCAGGAGAGGAAUGAGGAGACCGGAGGCCAGAAACCAAGGAAAUUAGAAGCAAACGCAAUGAGGCCGUGAGUGUGUGCCUGGUGUGUGUGUCUGUGUAUGGGCGUGAGAGAAAAAAAAAGGAAAGAAAAGGAGAGAGGGCGGGGAGGAAGAAACAUCAAGAAAGCGAAAAGGAUGAGAAGAGGGGGCACCUGGGUGGCUCAGUCAGUUAAGUGUCUGCCUUCAGCCCAGGUCAUGAUCCAGGGUCCUGGCA
Molecule: long non-coding RNA, 1613 nt
Organism: Mustela lutreola (European mink)
Lineage: Eukaryota; Metazoa; Chordata; Mammalia; Carnivora; Mustelidae
Exons: 2
Source: RefSeq, a predicted model, not a curated record